RNAcentral lists this long non-coding RNA (1007 nucleotides) under Triticum aestivum (bread wheat). Its description in RNAcentral is "long non-coding RNA (TAES_LNC027397)". Lineage: Eukaryota; Viridiplantae; Streptophyta; Magnoliopsida; Poales; Poaceae. The record is from RNAcentral.
UUUUUUUGCCUCUCAUUAUUAUUUUUGUUGGAGAAGAAGUUACAUUUGUUACGCACUAAAAGGCACCUGGUAGCAUAUCAUGUCAUCAGAUAAUCUUCUGGACUGUGUUCCUACUUCCUACUGCUUCACUGAUUUCUUGUGGUUGCUAGAAAAAUGAGAUUUGUCAAACAGAAGCUUCCUUCCGCCUGCCACUGACAUGCCACCGACGAUGUGUGAAUAUUACGUGAGCAGCUACAACCUUUUUUUAUGGAUGAGACGAUGAGCAGCUACAAACUUGAUACUGUUAAUGGUAGUCUCAUUCUUCCAAAAAAAAUAGAAAAACAAACUCAUACAUUUCAACACAGCUCCUUCUUCACAUAAACUUCCAGUUUAAAUGAAAAUACUAUUAUUUUCGAUGAAGGGAGCUUUAUUACUUAAAAGGUUUAAGCAUUAUACCCGGCCCCUCUGCAUAAAUGAAAAUACUAAUAGCAACAAAAAAAACUUAAUAAGAAAACUCCGACAAUGUGGACCGAGAUUGACUUGGUAGUAGAUCAAAUCACACGUGUUCAAUCUUUGCUCAAUGAGAACUGAGGAACAACUUUGUAAAAAAAACUACCCUACUCCAUACUGAUCAUUGCAUGACAUCAAUAUUUCUCUUACAGAACUAAACUUAGACAGCCAUGUAAGCUGUAAACAUUGUUCUUGAUUAAACGGACAAAACAUAAAGGAAUUAGAAGUCUCACCAUCAGUAUAUAAUGUUUCCACGCAAUAUUUUUGUCCGAACAACCACAAUCAAUAUCCAUUACAUCCACACUCGCCUCAAGAGGGAGAGUAGACCCGCCUGCACAAUAGAGACUAUAGAACAUUCACAUGAAGUGCUAAAAAAUGUAAUACCAAAAUUUAAUCUAAUGAGGAAGCAGAGCCCGCUGCCGCAUCCAUGGAUGGCCACCAGAGGAGUCUCCAGCGCCGUGCGACGUCGACCUGCCGCAAGGGCCCGAACGGGCAACGGCACACGCAUCCACCCGCUG